The sequence is a regulatory RNA element, 145 nucleotides long. It matches the Rfam family "speF leader". From Rfam's summary of the family: This family is a putative regulatory RNA structure that is found upstream of the speF gene encoding ornithine decarboxylase in Agrobacterium tumefaciens and other alpha-proteobacteria. The record is from Rfam.
CGUUGGCUUUCCACAGGUCAACACCGAAGAGGCUUGUCCUUCAUUGCCGGCCGUGCGGGGCUUCCCCAAUCGACGGUGUUUCGGGUCCGGACGUUUCGUCCGCUGUUCUCGGCGUCUCCAUCGCGCCGUGACCUGCGAACGACUC